GUGUCAGCAGCCGCGGUAAUACCGGCAGCCCAAGUGAUGGCCGAUAUUAUUGGGCCUAAAGCGUCCGUAGCUGGCCGGACAAGUCCGUUGGGAAAUCUGCUCGCUCAACGAGCAGGCGUCCAGCGGAAACUGUUCGGCUUGGGACCGGAAGACCUGAGGGGUACGUCCGGGGUAGGAGUGAAAUCCUGUAAUCCUGGACGGACCACCGGUGGCGAAAGCGCCUCAGGAAGACGGAUCCGACAGUGAGGGACGAAAGCUAGGGUCUCGAACCGG
Molecule: ribosomal RNA, 273 nt
Filed under: uncultured prokaryote
Description: partial 16S ribosomal RNA
Rfam family: Archaeal small subunit ribosomal RNA
Source: RNAcentral